AUAGGUUGGGAUGAUGAAACGUUAAGUAAGGUUACUGGUUUACUUGGCUACCUUAAUGGCUUCUUGUUUUGUCUCUUGGUACUUGUUUUCCAUAGAAUUCUUGAGCAGUCAUCCAUACUUUAUUCUAUCUUGCAAGACAAGGACACUGACUUUCAUUAUGGAGUGAGCAGGGUUGAGAGAUUCAAGGCCUUUGUUGCUUCUCUGAGAAAUGAUACAGAAUAUUGUCAGGUGUACGACCUGGCUGUUGAGAAAGUGGGACCACCAGUAACCAGGAUUUCCAUUCACAAAGACAUACUGUCAGAGAAAGAAAACGCCAACACAUUGCAUGAUGAGGUAGUAAAGAAGUUCAUUGAAAAACCACGAAGACUUGCUCUCUUAUACAAAUAGGUAUUCAUAUAUGGCUGAUAGCAAGCUGAUGAUGUCUUACGUCCAUGGCAUGUGAGAAUUUUUCCGGGAACUUUUUAAUGCAGGCAAUGAUGAUUGUCAAUUCAGCACGACAAUGAACGGCAUCACAACUUUUGAUAGUUGUUGAUGACAAAUCUGAGCCUUUUUCGGUUCUUUUGUCAAAGUUUCUUUACAAGAUGUACAUAGGUAUCUAUUUAUGUAUGUGGUGUUGAGAAAAUAAAUCACAUAUCUGCAACUA
This is a long non-coding RNA of Xenia sp. Carnegie-2017, 643 nucleotides long. RefSeq lists it as uncharacterized. Lineage: Eukaryota; Metazoa; Cnidaria; Anthozoa; Malacalcyonacea; Xeniidae. The transcript is spliced from 2 exons. The record is from RefSeq and is a predicted model, not a curated record.